ACCGGCUUAGCUCAACUGGUAGAGCACCAGACCUUUGUUGGGCUAUCUGGAGGUUGCGGGUUCGACCCUCGUAGCUGGGU
Mycena polygramma is the source of this 80-nucleotide non-coding RNA. NCBI's taxonomy places the organism in Eukaryota, Fungi, Basidiomycota, Agaricomycetes, Agaricales, Mycenaceae. The record is from the annotation of a GenBank genome assembly.